RNAcentral lists this ribosomal RNA (336 nucleotides) under uncultured Pseudomonadota bacterium. RNAcentral describes it as "bacterial SSU rRNA". It matches the Rfam family "Bacterial small subunit ribosomal RNA", at positions 29 to 351 of the family's 1533-position model. Lineage: Bacteria; Pseudomonadati; Pseudomonadota. The record is from RNAcentral.
AACGAACGCUGGCGGCGUGCUUAACACAUGCAAGUCGAACGUGAAGGGGACUUCGGUCCCUGGAAAGUGGCGCACGGGUGAGUAACGCGUGGAUAAUCUACCCAAUGAUCUGGGAUAACAUUUCGAAAGGGGUGCUAAUACCGGAUAAGACCACGGAGUCUCUGGAUUCUGCGGUAAAAGGUGGGGACCUUCGGGCCUACCGUCAUCGGAUGAGUCCGCGUACCAUUAGCUAGUUGGUGGGGUAAUGGCCUACCAAGGCUACGAUGGUUAGCUGGUCUGAGAGGAUGAUCAGCCACACUGGAACUGAGACACGGUCCAGACUCCUACGGGUGGCAG